This 326-nucleotide small nuclear RNA is filed under the name Sorex araneus (European shrew). RNAcentral describes it as "7SK RNA (ENSSARG00000018135.1)". It matches the Rfam family "7SK RNA". Rfam says of the family: 7SK was discovered as an abundant small nuclear RNA in the mid-70s but a possible function has only recently been suggested. Two independent studies have found that 7SK RNA binds the CDK9/cyclin T complex (known as elongation factor P-TEFb). The record is from RNAcentral. Lineage: Eukaryota; Metazoa; Chordata; Mammalia; Eulipotyphla; Soricidae.
GGAUGUGACUGUGAUCUGGCUGUGCCAUUUGGCACUCCGCUGAUUACCAGGGUUGAUUCAGCUGAUCUGGCUUGCUAGGCUGGCUUCCACUUCCUCCCUGACCACUCCAAGUGCCUUUCCCUGAAAGCUGCAUGCUUGGUUGAAGAAGAUGGGUUUCCUCGAAUAGAGAUGGACUAUUUAUUUUGGUCAAGGGUAUAUGAGUAGCUGCAGUCCCCUGUUAGAAUCUUCAUACAAGCUCUCAAGAAUACUGACUCCAAAAAAAUUGCAUACAUGUCCUUAAACCUUAUGUUCAUUAGUACAAGUAUAGGUUUACUCUGGUUCUUGGU